UCGUAUUUCUGUCCGAUAUAUAUUAUAAAUUCAUCGUCGUUUCGCAAAUUCCUCUGCGUUGCACGAGAGUUCAUUGUGUUGCAUUCGUGUCAGGUGAUCGCCGUUACCACGUUAACGAGGACGAUCGAUGGUUCGCCUAGCAAUUACCAAUUCCAGAGACCGUUCCGUGGACACCGAAUCGCGAGGAAUCGGCAAUGCUGCACAGCCGUCGCGUGCCAAGAAUUUCGCACGCUGUUACAGUUCUUGCACCUACUGUGUCUAAGAUGCGGAAGAUCGGUAAAAAAUCGGCAGGUGUGACGGGUCGCGAGAUGGUAGCGUAAACGAGAAAAUUCCCUUUGACUUCUCGCCGUUGGCAGAACAGGCUGGGGAACGUGAAAGCGGAAAAUGACGGAUAAUCGUUCGAGUAUUGACAAUCGAUGUAUUGGACGAAAGGUAAAAAAAGGCCGGUGAUGAAAGCAUCUUUGUAUCCGCGCAUCGCCACGUUUUAUUGACAAAUAAAUACGACAAUAAUAUAUAUAUAUGUGUGUGUGUGUGUAUUAUAUGUACAAAAAAGAAAUAAAUAAUAGGAAAAAGAACCGCCCGUUUGUUAAUGCGAACAAACUGAACUGAACGUCGAUCGAGAUUGCCACACCGGAUCAAGAAAAAAAAAAAAAAAAACGAUAAACAUGCUUGCGUCCGUAUUGAUCGUCAUCAAUUUUCCUUUGUCUCUUUUUUUCUUCCUCUCGCGUGGUAUAGCACUGGUAGCACGGUAAUUCCAACCAAAGUCGGAUUAACGACGUGUAUCGUUCGACAUUUCUUUCUUUUCUUUCUUCGCUCCUGUGCAAAAUAGUCGAAAUAAACGAGAAACAUCGCUGCAAGAUCAGAUCCACCGAUGUAAAAAUUAGUGGUUUCUCCGAGGAAGCCGGUCAAUAAUAUUUCCUUCUUCCUUUUUUCUUUUUUUUUUUUUUUCGUUUAGAAGCGCGCGCAAAUGUCUCCGCGAACACAAAUAGGGAGAAGAAAAAGAGACUUAAAUUCAAUUUCGUUGGACAAUGAAAGCAAGAAUGGCAGAACGAGCCAACGUUACGAGACGAAAAUGAUAGAGAAAACAGAAAAAAAGAAAGAGAGACUAUUAUUUUUUUGGAAGAAAAAGUUGUCGAAUUGCCUCUCCCCCCUUUUGUGCAUUACGAACAAUUUCUGAGAAUGGUUCUUUUUUUCUUUUUUGACUGAUUUCGCGUCAACUACAAAAUCAGAGACAGAGAGCUUGAGCAAUCUAAUAUUGAGCAGUCGCGCGAGGAGUCUUUCGGACAUUAGGAGCUAAAGAGGCAGUUUCGUGCGCGAGAUUAUAUGGUAGAAACGAAAGAAAAAAAAGAAAAGACCGCGAGAAUAAGGACAAUAAUAAUUAAAAAGAAAAAAGAAAAAAACUGUGGAAGGUGUUGAAAUUUCUGUCGAAUGGCGUUAUCUCUACCUAAAACUCUAAAGUAAACGUCGUUAGGAAAAUCUUAGGUUACUCGUGUUUCGUAUACAGGCUAAUCGUGCGUGCAAAUUGCAGUAUCAAGGAUAAAGAAACA
This is a long non-coding RNA of Frieseomelitta varia, 1547 nucleotides long. RefSeq lists it as uncharacterized. Lineage: Eukaryota; Metazoa; Arthropoda; Insecta; Hymenoptera; Apidae. The record is from RefSeq and is a predicted model, not a curated record. The transcript has 2 exons.